Molecule: microRNA precursor, 61 nt
Filed under: Chrysemys picta bellii (western painted turtle)
Lineage: Eukaryota; Metazoa; Chordata; Testudines; Emydidae
Also listed under: 5 other names
Description: Cpi-Mir-199-P2-v3_pre stem-loop
Rfam family: mir-199 microRNA precursor family
About the family: This family consists of the microRNA (miRNA) precursor mir-199 which appears to be specific to humans. Animal miRNAs are transcribed as ~70nt precursors and subsequently processed by the Dicer enzyme to give a ~22nt product. In this case the mature sequence comes from the 3' arm of the precursor.
Source: RNAcentral
CCCAGUGUUCAGACUACCUGUUCAGGACUACGAGAUUGUACAGUAGUCUGCACAUUGGUUA